Long non-coding RNA from Vidua macroura (Pin-tailed whydah), 303 nucleotides. RefSeq lists it as uncharacterized. NCBI's taxonomy places the organism in Eukaryota, Metazoa, Chordata, Aves, Passeriformes, Viduidae. The transcript is spliced from 3 exons. The record is from RefSeq and is a predicted model, not a curated record.
CUGGAAGCCACUCUCUUAGUGAGCUCUUCUAGCCUGCCAGGAGAAUGAAUGAACAGUUUCCUUCCAGCAGAGCUGCCUCCAUUGGUUGCCAGUGCAUUCAGGCUUAGUUCAUGUGGCUGUUCCAAGCACUGAGAUUAGGAGUGGAGCCACCCGUGUGAACAGAAAUCUUAAAAAAAUAGGUGCAGGAGACCUGCUUUAAAAAUGAAGGGAAAAAAAGGAAAACAGAACGUAUGUGUAAAGAAUGUGCCUGAAUCCAGGAAAGUAACACCAAUGGAAAGGAUGGUACAAAGAAAGGUGGUUAUG